CCCUUCGGGGUGAGUGGCGCACGGGUGCGUAACGCGUGGGAACCUGCCUUUAGGUUCGGAAUAACUCAGAGAAAUUUGAGCUAAUACCGGAUAAUGUCUUCGGACCAAAGAUUUAUCGCCUUUAGAUGGGCCCGCGUUAGAUUAGAUAGUUGGUGGGGUAACGGCCUACCAAGUCGACGAUCUAUAGCUGGUCUGAGAGGAUGAUCAGCCACACUGGGACUGAGACACGGCCCAGACUCCUACGGGAGGCAGCAGUGGGGAAUAUUGGACAAUGGGCGAAAGCCUGAUCCAGCAAUGCCGCGUGAGUGAUGAAGGCCUUAGGGUUGUAAAGCUCUUUUACCAGGGAUGAUAAUGACAGUACCUGGAGAAUAAGCUCCGGCUAACUCCGUGCCAGCAGCCGCGGUAAUACGGAGGGAGCUAGCGUUGUUCGGAAUUACUGGGCGUAAAGCGCGCGUAGGCGGUUAUCCAAGUCAGGGGUGAAAUCCCGGAGCUCAACUCCGGAACUGCCCUUGAAACUAGGUGACUAGAAUAUUGGAGAGGUAAGUGGAAUUCCGAGUGUAGAGGUGAAAUUCGUAGAUAUUCGGAAGAACACCAGUGGCGAAGGCGACUUACUG
This 614-nucleotide ribosomal RNA is filed under the name uncultured bacterium. Its description in RNAcentral is "bacterial SSU rRNA". It matches the Rfam family "Bacterial small subunit ribosomal RNA", at positions 76 to 731 of the family's 1533-position model. The record is from RNAcentral.